This 737-nucleotide ribosomal RNA is filed under the name Pediococcus pentosaceus. RNAcentral's name for it is "bacterial SSU rRNA". It matches the Rfam family "Bacterial small subunit ribosomal RNA", at positions 56 to 748 of the family's 1533-position model. Lineage: Bacteria; Bacillati; Bacillota; Bacilli; Lactobacillales; Lactobacillaceae. The record is from RNAcentral.
UGCAAGUCGAACGAACUUCCGUUAAUUGAUUAUGACGUACUUGUACUGAUUGAGAUUUUAACACGAAGUGAGUGGCGAACGGGUGAGUAACACGUGGGUAACCUGCCCAGAAGUAGGGGAUAACACCUGGAAACAGAUGCUAAUACCGUAUAACAGAGAAAACCGCAUGGUUUUCUUUUAAAAGAUGGCUCUGCUAUCACUUCUGGAUGGACCCGCGGCGUAUUAGCUAGUUGGUGAGGUAAAGGCUCACCAAGGCAGUGAUACGUAGCCGACCUGAGAGGGUAAUCGGCCACAUUGGGACUGAGACACGGCCCAGACUCCUACGGGAGGCAGCAGUAGGGAAUCUUCCACAAUGGACGCAAGUCUGAUGGAGCAACGCCGCGUGAGUGAAGAAGGGUUUCGGCUCGUAAAGCUCUGUUGUUAAAGAAGAACGUGGGUAAGAGUAACUGUUUACCCAGUGACGGUAUUUAACCAGAAAGCCACGGCUAACUACGUGCCAGCAGCCGCGGUAAUACGUAGGUGGCAAGCGUUAUCCGGAUUUAUUGGGCGUAAAGCGAGCGCAGGCGGUCUUUUAAGUCUAAUGUGAAAGCCUUCGGCUCAACCGAAGAAGUGCAUUGGAAACUGGGAGACUUGAGUGCAGAAGAGGACAGUGGAACUCCAUGUGUAGCGGUGAAAUGCGUAGAUAUAUGGAAGAACACCAGUGGCGAAGGCGGCUGUCUGGUCUGCAACUGACGCUG